AUCUGAUGUCAUGAACUACAGAUAGGUUAUGUGAAACAACAUGGCUGUAAACAACCUAAGAAGAGACUUCUGGCAACAAAAUUAUACUGUCUAUUGGUGGUUCCAGAAAAAUGCCCCAAGAAACAAUGGAUUUAUAUUGGGGAAGUGGCCUCAUGAAGGUAGAAGCAUGACUGUCUUGGUAGGCUGCUUCUGUUUUCCUCGAAGGGGUACAACCACAACAGUAGUAAUCUAUGGGUAUAUUAGUUAAACUCAGUUGACUGUAAGAACAAGAAAAGCUAAAAUGUUAAGAGGAUUGGACUCUGCUUCACACUCUUGAUGUUUAUACAUCACAGGAGCUCCAAUAUCAUUGCAUCUCUUCAUUCACUCCACCCCC
Molecule: long non-coding RNA, 373 nt
Filed under: Homo sapiens (human)
Lineage: Eukaryota; Metazoa; Chordata; Mammalia; Primates; Hominidae
Description: HSALNT0192176
Source: RNAcentral